GACGAACGCUGGCGGCGCGCUUAACACAUGCAAGUCGAGCGAUGAAAUUUCGACAGAUCCCUUCGGGGUGAAGAUGAAAUGGAUUAGCGGCGGACGGGUGAGUAACACGCGAGUAACCUGCCUUUGACAUUGGGAUAGCCUCGGGAAACUGGGAUUAAUACCAAAUGACACUAACUGAUCACAUGAUCAAUUAGUCAAAGAAAUUCGGUCAAAGAUGGACUCGCGGCUGAUUAGCUAGUUGGUGAGGUAACGGCCCACCAAGGCGACGAUCAGUAGCCGGCCUGAGAGGGUGAUCGGCCACAUUGGAACUGAGACACGGUCCAAACUCCUACGGGAGGCAGCAGUGGGGAAUAUUGCACAAUGGGGGAAACCCUGAUGCAGCGACGCCGCGUGAGCGAAGAAGGCCUUCGGGUCGUAAAGCUCUUUUAUGAGGGAAGAUAAUGACGGUACCUCAAGAAAAAGCCCCGGCUAACUACGUG
Molecule: ribosomal RNA, 479 nt
Filed under: uncultured bacterium
Lineage: Bacteria
Description: partial 16S ribosomal RNA
Rfam family: Bacterial small subunit ribosomal RNA
Source: RNAcentral